Lethenteron reissneri (Far Eastern brook lamprey) is the source of this 3390-nucleotide long non-coding RNA. RefSeq lists it as uncharacterized. NCBI's taxonomy places the organism in Eukaryota, Metazoa, Chordata, Hyperoartia, Petromyzontiformes, Petromyzontidae. The record is from RefSeq and is a predicted model, not a curated record.
AAUUUUCUUGCCGUGUUUUUUCACACCUGAUGACGAUUGCUUGUGUUGCGGUCGAAACGUCGUGAGAAUUUAAUUGUUUUAUAUUUUUUAUGAUUUUAUUUUUUCCCUUCUACGUGACUUUACCGAAAGAACCGAGAAUAUGAAUCCCUGCAGUCACAAAAUCUUUAAAUCAAAAUGUAACUUCUUCAUUCUCGCAAUCUUCAACAAGCGGCCAAGACCAAGGCUCUUGCGCGCUUGAACGCGAAGCGAAGUGGAUGAUCCUUACUUCCGCAAGGGUACGAAUGCCAGGUGCACCCUCAAGAUGAGCAAGCUCAAUGGAUGGAGCCCACCGUUGCUGUACCGCCUUCUCCUGGCCAGCCAGCCACAGCUCUGCCUGGGAUCCACGAACUCUCGCUGCUGCCUCGGCAGUCCAGGAUUGCAGGCUGCCACCUGCAGCGUGGCCUCCACCGCCCGCGAUCCACGUGAACCACGGUCGGCGCCGUUACGGGUCUCGCCUGGCAUACAGGAGGUUGUGGGUUCAAUCCCGACCCUGACGCCUGUAUAGUCGGAGUUUGUGGAGUCUCACCUCCAAUGGUCGCGUGGAUUUUUCUCCGGGUUCUCCUUUUUUCCCUUCACAUUUAGAAUCAUCACGCAUUUAGAGUAUUUGCCUGCUAUAAAUGUCCACGUGACAAGCCACUUUGUUGAGCUGUCAUUUGUGGCCAGGUCGCUUCUGAAAGAGAGCUACAUAGCUCAGUGGGCCUUACCUGGUAAAAUAAAAAAAAUUGUUAAGCGUUUAGCAGUUUUUCUUUCAACGGCGGUAGGAACAGCAACGACACAAGAUUCCUACAAGGCCGUCUUCGUCAGCGAGCAUUAGCGCUGAUUGCGAACGAAUCCCAACGACUCAGUGAAGCUUUCCUGGAUUUUGAAAAAAGAAAGAAAUAAAAAGGCGAGGGACCUGCGCAUCGGAGAGACGUUUAAGGGGAGGUGAAUAAUGAAUGUAAGGAGCCGCUCGCUCUGAAAGGGUUUUUAGGGAGCGGUGAGUUUGACUCGGCCCAACCAUCCCUGACCGCACUCUCUCAAAGCCGACGCGGCAGCACUUAAGCCUUUUACACGCACGCACGGACACGGCACGGACAGACGCAGACACGGCACAGACAGACGCACUCACGGGCACGGUACAGACAGACACACACACAGACACAACACAGACAGACACACUCACGGACACGGUACAGACAGACGCACUCACAGACACAGUACAGACAGACACACUAACAGACACGGCACAGACAGACACACUCAUAGACACGGCACAGACAGACACACUCACAGACACGGCAGAGACAGACGCGGGCACGGACACCGUGCGUGACGACGCCAUGGCUAAUGACGAUGGUGCCCGCAGUAUUAACCAGGGUGGCCGCUCUACCCGAACCGCAAACCUCUGCAGGGAGCGAGUGGCAAAAGCGCAAAUUCUCUGCUCCGUCAGCGCCCAGGUGCGGCGUGUUUCUAUUCUUUACCGCCGUUGGUACCGGGGCGGCGAGAGCAGCCGUGGGAUCGGAGAGACGCGGCACCCGUGGGACUCACUCGUCGAUGGUGAAGCAGGCGAUGCGCUUGGCCAGCCCACGCCGGCGCUGCUCCUCCAGCGCGCCGCGGCCCAGGAACGAGACGGACGACUUGAGCUUGCAGAGCAGUUCAAGCGAUUCGUGGAAGUGGAUAUCGCAGAGCUACCUCCGAGAUCUCUUCUUCACGUGACCUCUGGCCCACCGCACAGCGGCUGAAACCUGGAUUCGAGCCCAGGUCCUGAGCCCUGACGGGGGUGGGGGACCCUGGGAAAGAACGGUCAGCCCAUCGCCGGCUCACCCUUCUCGAUGGAGAGCGAGUCGAUGGCGCGGUAGCCGGCGUUGACGAUGCCCAGGGGCCGCCCGGCCUCCAUCACCGCCGCGUAGACGGCACCGCACGCGGCCGCCGGCACGUGCAGCUCCCAGCCCAGCUCCCCCACGAACGACACGCGCAUGGCGCGCACCUGCUUCCGCGACAGGGGGGGGGGGGACACGGUGGUCAUUCCGUUAGCGCAGGGGUCGGCAUCCAAUAACUAACGACAAGAGCCCUUUUUGUUCGAAUUGGGUACACGGUUUAAUGUUUCAAGAGCCGCCAUGCUCGUGAAAGCGAGACGCUCGUUUGUAAAUAACGUCACGAGGCAGCGCUUUGAAGAGCUGCGUGCGCACCCGUAGCCACGGGUUGCGGACCCCUGCGUGAGCGAAAUCGGUGGCAGCAAUGUCCACGUUGUUCACGGGUGGCUCUGUGUGUGUAGCGUGGGUGAAAACCGUCGAGCGUGACGAUGGCCUGCGACUUCAUCUACUUCACAGUACGGUGAUGAGAGCAACAGCUGUAAUUUUAUAUUGAGUUGGUUGAUUGGUUCGCAAAAGCCCAGCUUGAUUGAUUGGGCCUAGACAAAAAGAUUUUUGUACAAUAAUUUGUUUUUGUUUAGGAUCGAUUUGAAAGCAUGCCGUCACGGGGAGUGACGUCACGAAUAUUUACGUCCCGCCCACGCCAAGUGGCAUCGAGUGACAUACCUUUGGUAAGCACGAAGACAAACGUUCAAAUAAUACAAAUCCAAAACUCAUUCCUAGGGGGUGGUAUGGGAGAGUAUGAACCCAGGAAGCCUCACUGCUUAACGAGCAUGGCGACCAGGGCGUGUGGAAGUUCUCAGCGCAUCCCUGGGUUGUUCUUGAGCCGACCCGGCCCGACCCGGCUCCAAGUGUUUGCAGAAACGACGCAAACUCGCAAGGCUCUCCCAGGCGAGCGAGCGAACGAACGAACGAACGAACGAACGAGCGAACGAACGAACGAACGAGCGAACGAACGAACGAGCGAACGAACGAACGAACGAACGAGCGAACGAACGAACGAACGAACGAACGAACGAACGAGCGAACGAAGCGAACGCAAGGGAGGCAAAGUUGCCGGCUGCCAAGGCGGCGUCGACUGACGAUAAUCGGGAUAACGAACCCAGGGCCAAGGGGCGGCGGCUUCCCACACCUCCGAGUAUGACGCCCGCACGGCUGCCAAGGGGGGACUUGUUACGCCGAGGUCGGCGCCGGGCUCGAGGCUCGUUAGGGGGCAGAGCGCGCUGCCUAAAGGAGUCCGAGCGGAGACGUGGCGCGCGUGUCCGCGUGCCGUGUGUGGCGCGCAUGGAAAGACAGCGCACUGGAGCGGUGGCGCGGCGGUUAGCGCGCUGCGCUGCGAACCCGGCGACCCGAAUUGGAUUCCCGGCCAAAGCUAAUGUCACGUGACGAAUAUCUGAGCCAGUCCUUGGCCUCUUCUGGAUUCGCCCAGAAUUAAAUUAGUUGCUGGUGUGGUGAGUCGGCAAAGGCAGCCGGGAGCGAUGCUGGCCACACCACCCUCUCA